Molecule: ribosomal RNA, 253 nt
Filed under: uncultured bacterium
Lineage: Bacteria
Description: partial 16S ribosomal RNA
Rfam family: Bacterial small subunit ribosomal RNA
Source: RNAcentral
UACGGAGGGGGUUAGCGUUGUUCGGAAUUACUGGGCGUAAAGCGCGCGUAGGCGGAUUAGUAAGUUGGGGGUGAAAUCCCAGGGCUCAACCCUGGAACUGCCUUCAAAACUACUAGUCUUGAGUUCGAGAGAGGUGAGUGGAAUUCCGAGUGUAGAAGUGAAAUUCGUAGAUAUUCGGAGGAACACCAGUGGCGAAGGCGACUCACUGGCUCGAUACUGACGCUGAGGUGCGAAAGCGUGGGGAGCAAACAGG